This 423-nucleotide ribosomal RNA is filed under the name uncultured cyanobacterium. RNAcentral's name for it is "bacterial SSU rRNA". It matches the Rfam family "Bacterial small subunit ribosomal RNA", at positions 358 to 795 of the family's 1533-position model. The record is from RNAcentral. Lineage: Bacteria; Bacillati; Cyanobacteriota.
GGAAUUUUCCGCAAUGGGCGAAAGCCCGCCGGAGCAAUACCGCGUGAGGGAGGAAGGCUCUUGGGUUGUAAACCUCUUUUCUCAGGGAAUAAGCAAGUGAAGGUACCUGAGGAAUCAGCAUCGGCUAACUCCGUGCCAGCAGCCGCGGUAAUACGGAGGAUGCAAGCGUUAUCCGGAAUGAUUGGGCGUAAAGCGUCCGUAGGUGGCUGUGUGUGUCUAUUGUUAAAGAGUUUGGCUCAACCAAAUAAGGGCGGUAGAAACUACACAGCUAGAGUGCGUUCGGGGCAGAGGGAAUUCCUGGUGUAGCGGUGAAAUGCGUAGAGAUCAGGAAGAACACCGGUGGCGAAAGCGCUCUGCUAGGCCGCAACUGACACUGAGGGACGAAAGCUAGGGGAGCGAAUGGGAUUAGAUACCCCUGUAGUC